RNAcentral lists this long non-coding RNA (6146 nucleotides) under Phaseolus vulgaris (common bean). RNAcentral's name for it is "long non-coding RNA (PVUL_LNC000583)". Lineage: Eukaryota; Viridiplantae; Streptophyta; Magnoliopsida; Fabales; Fabaceae. The record is from RNAcentral.
GCAUAAUCAAAUUUUUUUUUCAGCCAUAAUCAAUGAACUGCAACAUAUGAUAUUUUCCCAGUAAUCUGAGUCUGAAGUCUUUUGCACUCCCUUCAAAGACUGAAACACAAAUUUCUUACCAAUGAUUCUUUGAAACCCGAUACUAUUUAUGUUAGACUGGGCCCAUACACAAGCACAAGACCAAAAAGACAGCCCAACUGGAUGAAGGACUUUAUAAUAGGAUAGACUCAUGUGUCCUUAGAAAAUGUCUGCCAUUUUAUUAUUAGUAUGUUUUUAUUAUUGAAAGGUUUUUGUAAGGCCCAUGGCCCUUUUUUACCCUUAUAGGGGACUAAGCAAUAGGAAAAAGAAGGCAGAGAAGUUUUUGGUAACCCUAGUUUUAGAUUAACAGUAGCGAAGCCUAACAAUUUGGUGCUUUCAUUGCUCCUACCAUGGCUCCCCAACCUCCAUCAACAGAUCUGACCGAGGCCUUAGCCAACAUCCAAACAAAUCUCACCAACAUCCAAAGCCAACUGGCCGAACACACUAGCAGACAAUCUACCUUAGAGGCUCAAAAUGACCACCUUCACUCUACAUUCACGUCCAUCCUGGAUCAGGUUGCUCUAUUGACUCCAACGGAGGCUAAAAUUCCACACAUGAACCAGCAAAGUAGCCCUCAUUCCAAUCACUCAAACCAGCAACCACCCAACACCCCUUCCAUACGACCACCCACACUNNNNNNNNNNNNNNNNNNNNNNNNNNNNNNNNNNNNNNNNNNNNNNNNNNNNNNNNNNNNNNNNNNNNNNNNNNNNNNNNNNNNNNNNNNNNNNNNNNNNACGGUACAAAUCCACUAGAUUGGCUUUUUCAAGCGGACCAAUAUUUCUCCUUCUAUCAAAUACCGUUGGACCAACGCAUUCCUAUGGUGGGGUUUCAUAUGCAGGGAGACGCUCUCUCAUGGUUUAAAUGGCUGCACAAUAACCACCUACUCACAGAUUGGCACUCCUUCACAAGGGCUUUGGAGCUUCGUUUUGGCCCCUCCACCUAUAUCAAUCAUCAAGUGGAGUUGUUCAAACUCCAGCAAACCACGUCGGUCACUGAAUACCAAGGCAGGUUUGAACGCUUAUGCAAUUGUGUGGUGGGUCUCACUCCUGAAACUAUACUUAAUUGUUUCAUUUUCUGGUCUGAAUGUUGAAAUCCGCAGAGAACUUACUAUAUUGAACCCAUAUUCUAUUGCCCAAGCCAUAGGUCUAGCUAAGCUUAUUGAAGACAAACUCAGAGAUUCUAAACCUAAACAUAUUCGAUUUCCAGCACCUACCUAUCACCACCCUAACCCCACUCCCUCAUUCGCUAAGAGAACCAGCACACCCCCAGCCCAUAUGCCCAUCAAACGUUUAUCCUCCUCACAAAUGCAAGAGAGACGAGCCCUAGGGUUAUGCUACAACUGUGAUGAAAAAUUCUUCCCUGGCCAUAAAUGCACUUCCUCUCGAUUUUUGCUCCUUUUAGAUGACCCAGAACUCCUAGCUGAACCCAACGAGGAGAUUUCCCCCACACAUGACCACGCCAACACUAUUCACUUCCACCUUUCACCUCAAGCCAUAUCUGGUACUAUUUCCCCAAAAACCCUCAAAUUCACAGGUCUAAUUCAUCACCUCCCUGUUACUGUCCUCAUUGACUCGGGAAGCUCCCACAACAUUCUUCAACCACGUAUUGCCUACCACUUAAACCUAGCCAUAUCCCCUAGCCCACCCCUCUCGGUAAUGGUUGGAAAUGGGGCGUUCAUUAAGUGCCAGGGUAUUUGUCCAUUGGUGGACAUAUCCCUCCAGAACUCUACCUUCACUAUUCCCUUUUACCUUCUUCCGAUUGAAGGUGCGGAUGUUGUUUUGGGCGUGGAAUGGUUGAGCACGUUAGNNNNNNNNNNNNNNNNNNNNNNNNNNNNNNNNNNNNNNNNNNNNNNNNNNNNNNNNNNNNNNNNNNNNNNNNNNNNNNNNNNNNNNNNNNNNNNNNNNNNNNNNNNNNNNNNNNNNNNNNNNNNNNNNNNNNNNNNNNNNNNNNNNNNNNNNNNNNNNNUAUCGGUGGACACCCAACACUGCCCCCAUACAACCUUAGCCACUACCAUUAAUAAUCCCACAUCCCCGUUAUCUCACCUACCCUCACCCAUCCAAUCCCUCCUUCAGGAAUACCAAGGUAUUUUUCAAAAACCAAGAGGGUUACCUCCACAGAGACCACAUGACCACCAUAUUCCCCUUUUACCUCAUACCCCACCAAUCAAAGUGAAACCAUACCGGUACCCACAUCACCACAAGGAAGUUAUUACAACACUGAUAUCAGAAAUGCUGCAAGAGGGCAUUAUUCAACCUAGUACAAGCCCAUUCUCCUCACCGGUGCUCUUAAUAAAAAAAAAAGAUGGAACAUGGCGUUUCUGUGUGGAUUACAGAGCCUUAAAUGCAACCACCAUUCAUGACCACUUCCCCAUUCCCACCAUUGAUGAACUGCUCGAUGAGUUAGGCUCAGCUACUGUUUUUACUAAAAUAGACCUACACUCAGGGUACCACCAAAUACUGCUUCUCCCAGAAGACACUCACAAAACAGCGUUUCGCACUAUAGAUGGCCACUAUGAAUUCUUAGUGAUGCCAUUUGGUUUAACUAACGCUCCUUCUACUUUUCAGGCAGCCAUGAAUGAUCUUCUCAGACCAUACCUCCGCCGGUUUGUCUUAGUUUUUUUUUAUGAUAUUUUGAUUUAUAGUCCAAGUUUGCAGGAUCAUAUUGCUCACCUACAAACUAUAUUGGAAGUGCUACACACUCAGCAAUUUUUUGCCAAGCUUUCAAAGUGCAGUUUCGCAACCGCGGAAGUUAGUUACUUGGGUCACAUUAUUUCUGCACAAGGAGUCCAACCAGACCCAGAGAAAGUCAAAGCCAUACACGACUGGCCGCAGCCACGAUCACUCACGGAAUUACGGGGGUUCCUCGGCCUCACCGGAUUUUACAGGAAAUUCAUAAAGCACUACGCCACUCUCGCCGCUCCUCUCACCGACUUAUUACAACACCACAAAUUUUCAUGGACUGAGCUCGCGCAGCAAGCAUUCGAAAAAUUAAAAUUACACAUGAAGACAAUGCCUACACUACACCUUCCAGAUUUUAAGCUGCCCUUUGUGGUCGAAACAGAUGCCUCUGCAGUGGCCAUAGGAGCCGUCCUCAGCCAAUCUGGGCAACCAUUAGCUUUUUUCAGCAAAAAGAUGAAUCCCAAGCUCCAAGCUUCCUCCGUAUAUGUCCGAGAGAUGUAUGCCAUAACAGAGUCAGUAAAAAAAUGGCGUCAAUACCUCAUAGGACAACAUUUCAGAAUCAUAACAAAUCAAAAGAGCCUAAACACCCUCCUCUCCCAAACCAUUCAGACCCCAGAACAACAGAAAUGGACUGCUAAAUUGCAGGGAUAUGAUUUUCAAAUUAUUUACCGACCUGGGAAGGAAAAUGCUGUGGCUGAUGCCCUUUCAAGGCAAGGUCAUGAUUCCUCUACCAUACUGCUUGCAGUGUCGUCACCAAUUCCGCAGCUUAUUCAAGAACUCCAAACUUUUUUUGCCACCACAGAAGGUCAGGGAGUGUUCCAGGCGUGCACAAGCAGUCAACAACAGCCAAGCUUGUUCUCCACUAGCCACGGUUUACUGUUUUUUCGCCAUCAGAUAUUCGUGCCAGCAUCAUCUGAUUUCCGCCAGCGCAUUAUGACAGAGUUCCAUGCUUCCCCUUAUGGCGGCCAUUCCAGCAUCAAACCAACUCUCAAGCGCAUAGCCGCUUCAUUCUAUUGGCCGAAAUGGACCAGAGACGUCCAUCGUUUUGUCCAACAAUGCUCCACAUGCCAAAAAAAUAAGUAUAUGCCAACCAAAACUCAGGGUUUACUGCAACCAUUACCAAUUCCCAAACAAGUAUGGGAGGACAUAUCAAUGGAUUUUAUUACUCACCUUCCAGUCUCAUCCGGACACUCGGUCAUUUGGAUAUUGUGCGACAGACUCACAAAAUAUGCGCAUUUCAUCGCUCUGCCCACACACUUCACGGCCCAGCAACUAGCGAAAUCUUUCUCAGUAGAAAUUUGUCGCCUCCACGGACUACCAAAAACCAUUGUCUCAGAUCGCGACCCCUUGUUUGUUAGCACUUUCUGGCAGCACCUGUUCAAAGCACAAGGAACAACGUUAAAAUUUAGCUCGUCAUACCAUCCCCAAACGAACGGUCAAACAGAGGUAUUGAACCGCGGCUUAGAGGCCUACCUGAGAUGUUUUGUGGGAAACCAACCAAACAAGUGGUACAAAUAUCUUCACUUGGCAGAACUUUGGCAUAAUACAACGUACCACUCGGCUAUUGGAACCUCCCCGUUCCAUGCGUUGUACGGUCGACAACCACCCACAGUAGUUGAUUUCUUAAGCGUCCCAAACGUUGGAACCUCCAUCCAAGAGACACUGUCGGCACACACCGUCAUCCUCCACGACCUUAAGGAGCACUUGCGUCGCACACGCCAGCGCAUGUGUGACCAAGCUAAUCGCCACCGCACAGAUCGUAGUUUCAAACCAGGAGAAUGGGUGUGGGUACGACUCCAACCCUACCGGCAACACUCAUUGGAACGGCGAACACACCAAAAGCUUGGCCCGCGUUUUUCAGGCCCAUACCAGAUACUACGCCGCAUCGGUGCCGUCGCAUAUGAGCUUCAACUGCCACCGUCGGCGCGGGUUCACCCGGUUUUUCACGUUUCGCUGCUCAGACCUUUCAAAGGACCUGUGGGAGAACACCAGGGUCUUUCUACCAAAUCCAAGAACUUGGCACUUCCAACACCACUUAACUCAUCUCCCAACCCAAAUCAGAACGCUCUGAACUCACCGUAUCAGGAACCCAAUGACAACACGCCAUGUGUUACACUCACAAAUCACACCGACUUAGCUGGCAUCGAGCCUCACGCUCACGCGCCCCACCAACAAGCCAUCUCCACGCCUCAUAAUCACCUCAACACGCGUUCUGAUAGAAUCAACAAUAGCGCGCCACGUGUCCCACUCACUGGUGACGCGGUUUUCCCACGCCUCGAGCCCCACACGCACCAACAAACCCUUCCCACGCCCAUUAAUGGGCUGAACGCGUUUCCUGACGGAGCCAACAAGAGUGUGCCGCGUGUCCCACUCACUGAUGGUGCAACUUCCCCACACCUCGAGCCGCGCGUCCCACUCACUGCUGGUGCAGCUUCCCCACACCUCGAGCCCAACGCUAGCACUCCACGCAAUACAAACCCUAAUUCUAAAGCACCUCAAACGGCGCCACCCCCUCAAAACCCUAAAACCCCAGCACCACUCCCUACAAACCCUAAUGACUCAACAACCAAUACCCAACCCAACUCACCCUUAAUGGCCCAUCCAAUUCCUGCACCCCCGCGCCAGAUUACAUACACCUCACCCCAUAUCCAAACCCACGAGAACCCACAACAGCCCAGUCACCGUCCAACGGCCCAACUAAUUCCAAGAUCCCACUUUGAGGACAAAGUGUCUAGUGGCGCGGAUAGUAAUGUUAGACUGGGCCCAUACACAAGCACAAGACCAAAAAGACAGCCCAACUGGAUGAAGGACUUUAUAAUAGGAUAGACUCAUGUGUCCUUAGAAAAUGUCUGCCAUUUUAUUAUUAGUAUGUUUUUAUUAUUGAAAGGUUUUUGUAAGGCCCAUGGCCCUUUUUUACCCUUAUAGGGGACUAAGCAAUAGGAAAAAGAAGGCAGAGAAGUUUUUGGUAACCCUAGUUUUAGAUUAACAGUAGCGAAGCCUAACAAUUUAUAUGCCAGGAGAGUAAACAAGCACUAACGUACACAUACGUUCAUUUUCAUUGCAAUACCAUCCUCGUUCAACUCUAAAUCUAUAAUCAUUUCCCAACAAGGGGGUGAGGACGAGAAAGAACUAAAACACAUGGACUUGUGAAGGUGCAUGUAUGAUGAGGGUAGAAAACAACUUUGAGCUAGUCAAUGUUUGCAAGGAAAAUUAUAGGAAAAUCGUUUUUGAAAAACUCUUAUUUCUUAAAAAGGCUAUUCUGGUUGGAAAAGCUAGGUUGAAAAAAAGGUUAGAGACGCUCCAGGGAAGUUAGGUGCAAAUGAUUUCAAUGAGCUAACUGAACAUACACUCUUCACGUGUCGUUUCAAUGGGAGGCAUCUAAAGUAGAGU